This is a non-coding RNA of Musa acuminata subsp. malaccensis (wild Malaysian banana), 1087 nucleotides long. NCBI's taxonomy places the organism in Eukaryota, Viridiplantae, Streptophyta, Magnoliopsida, Zingiberales, Musaceae. The record is from RefSeq and is a predicted model, not a curated record.
UGAUAGAAGGGCUAGAAACUAACUCUACUGCAAUUGUCAAUCGUUUCCGCUCUUCUGCUGCAAGUCCACUUACUCCUGAUGGCUUUUGCAACUGUUCUUGAAGAAGCCGGCCAAACUGGGAAGAUUCAAAAGAAUCUGAAAACUUUUGCACAGAUAGAUACUGAUAUUCCCCUUCGCAUCUCAUCACCUAUUAUUAUGUCUGCACACUCAUGCAAGCCAAGUAUCUGAAAAGAUAGGUCAUUUAAAUGUAAGAAGAUACUGAACAAGAUUUUUAUUCCAUGGACAGCAAACUAAUUUGUCAACAAAGCCACACAAAAAGAAACAAAAGAAGAGAUAUGCAAAAGAUACAUGAGCAAGCAAGGAGAUGGUGGAUCCUCCAGCCUCACCACCAGGGAAAAGGAAUGCUGACAUCGAGGGAGAUGGGAAACUAGUAUGGAGGUUAUUUGCAAGCUUGUGAAGACUGAUCCACUACAUCUGUUCUUGACACAGCUUAUCUUACUUGGCUUGAGAUCCACAUAAGCACUAUUUCUAUUGAGUUCAGGGACAUUUCGGCCAUGGACAUUUAGGGCAUGCCACAGUAAGCCGAGCGAAUCUAGGUGAUGAAGUUGCAGCUUUUUCCACCAUCAGAUGAUAAAGACUGAAGGUGGAGGUUAUAUUGAGUGGAUACACAAUUUGCUACCAGCUUCAUGAGCAUAGAAAUCCGACGAAGCAUCAGGCAUACAUUUCUCCUAUAUUCUACCCUAUACUCCCUGUUUAGCUGCAGAAUGGUUUAGUCCAUGGCACCUAAAUCAGGCAAGUUCUAGCUGAAACAGUGUUUACUCAACUUUAUAGCAAGUAUAAACAAAAAAAGGUGCAGGUAAUAUGGCGAGACUAGUAACUGGAAGUUGAAUAUAUUGUGGCCUCUGGUAGAGAUGGAAGUCAACUCUGCAGGUACUAAUUACUACUUGCUCUACUCGUUUCUGUGCAGACGUUGCGGGAUCAAAGGAAGAAAAGAUAAUAAGAGAAGGCAUCAUCUUCUCAAGGACUCAAACCCAACUGGUGAUCAAAGGUCAAGAACACGUGUUUGUCUUACUAGAGCAUGGUGGCA